GUUCUAGAGACUAAGAAGAGCAAAAUCACAGCACCAGCAUUUGGGAAGGCCUUCACAGUGCAUCAAAACAUGGUGCAAAGACAAGCUCUUACCAGUCUUCCUGAAAAAUACACAGACUUCUCUCCUGAUGAACCCAGUUUCCUAAUCAACUAAGAUAUCAACCUCUCCCAUUGGUUAUAUUGAUAUGAAGAUGGCUUUUCUCCAGCAAAGUAGGUCUUAAAGCAAUUCUAGUGAGGUCUAAAAAGAUGAAUUAUUUAGACACAGCCAGUAUAGAAGACAUUGCUGCUCUUGAUUUCCCUUGGAAGCGUCCUUCUGUACCACAGUUUGAAGUGCACUUAUCCCAGCAGAAACGGUUAAAUCUAUCUCGAG
Molecule: long non-coding RNA, 369 nt
Organism: Heterocephalus glaber (naked mole-rat)
Lineage: Eukaryota; Metazoa; Chordata; Mammalia; Rodentia; Bathyergidae
Source: Ensembl